AUACGGAGGGGGCUAGCGUUGUUCGGAAUUUCUGGGCGUAAAGCGCGCGUAGGCGGAUCGUUAAGUCAGGGGUGAAAGCCCGGAGCUCAACUCCGGAACUGCCCUUGAUACUGGCGAUCUCGAGUCCGGGAGAGGUGAGCGGAAUUCCUAGUGUAGAGGUGAAAUUCGUAGAUAUUAGGAGGAACACCAGUGGCGAAGGCGGCUCACUGGCCCGGUACUGACGCUGAGGUGCGAAAGCGUGGGGAGCAAACAGGAUUAGAUACCCUAGUAGUCC
This 274-nucleotide ribosomal RNA is filed under the name uncultured bacterium. RNAcentral's name for it is "partial 16S ribosomal RNA". It matches the Rfam family "Bacterial small subunit ribosomal RNA", at positions 523 to 796 of the family's 1533-position model. The record is from RNAcentral.